GCCCUCCCGCGAAGGGAGGGGACAAAGAGGAAGCCCCGCCAGGAAAGCCCCGCCCCCUUUUCCUGUCUCCGAAGGGCGGGGACGGAGAAGAGCCCCGCCCUUUCCCGGCUCCAGCGCGUGUUGUGGGGGCGGGGCCGCCGCUGUGCCCCGGGCGGGAGUAACAGCGCGCCCCCUGUCAGCGGGGCGGCUCGGGCGCAGGCUGGGAGCGGCCAGUCUCUGCAGUGCGGGGCGCGGGGAGGCUGCAGGGGGUGCCCAGCACGGAUUGCCCUGCCAGGGCUGCUGCUCGCCUCCCGCACGUGCUUCCAGUCUGCUCGGGGCGCUGGCGGUGGCUCUCCCGAGUCCCCCCCCCGUGUGGGCGCAGCAGGCCUUACCUUUCCCACCCUCACGUCUGCCACGGGGAGGGGGGUCUGCAUCUGCUCUAUGUGGCUUAGCAAUUGAAACCCCUGGCGCAGCCAGCGGGAAAGCUGUGGGCGCGGUAGCCGGCCUGCCUCCCUCUGGGCUGGUUUCUGCAGGCCUGCGGGCUGAAGAGUUGCUACUGGGAUGGAGCACGGGCCUCCUUCCUCCUCAGCCAGCCUAAGGAGACUGUGCCCCACCUGAACUAGGGGAGCUCUGCCCACUUCAAGAGCCGAAAGGGCCCUAUCACCCAGCUAAAUAGCCAGAGUAUGGCCAGAGGGACUUGACCCCCAUCCGGCCAGAUUAGCCAGCAAGACAUUCACGCAUGUAAUAUACUGCUGCUAGCAGAGGCUGCAGCCCACCCCACCUUCUGCCACUAUCAACUGGCAGCUAUGGGAGCUAUUGUGAAGAGGCUUCAUGUAGUGCUGGAGAAGGGGAAAGCAUUGCUGAAGGAGAGAUAGUGUGGGCUGGAAUGAUUGAUGGAUUUGGGAAGGAGCAGUAUGUGGGAUUGUGAUGAGGUUUUUUAGGAGGGAUGUUGUUUCACCCAGGUAAUUUGUUUCUUGUCAAAUAUUAACAGCACUGGACAGACAGCAGUAAUCCUGUUACAGCAGCAUCUUUCCCAAUCCUGCCACCUUCAGAUACAAGGCUCCUAGCUCUUUCCACUACAUUUGCUUCUCAGCUGUGCUCAGCAGCAGCCUUAAGGGAGGAAGUCAAUCUCCCAGGGUGGAAGGUGAAUUUUGUGUGAAAAAGGCGGCCAACCUGCUUGCUGACAUUUCACUGCUGCGGGUGAGCAGGGAAACCAGGGCACAACUACGGCAUGCGUUCACCCCCGUCUAUAUGCAGCUCAGCUGUGUGCCGCUUUGGUCCCAGCUCCAGUGACUGCUGAAUGGCGUGGUACCAUUUCCUACAAUGGGGGAAACUAACAAGGCUGCAAUCCCUUGGAAUCUGCGACGGAGGAUUAACAAGUAUCUCUUGGAAACUUUCCAGAGUCUCUCUCUGGAGGAUUCCCUGCAGGUCUCGAUGUCCAUCGACACCCUGCUUGGCCAUGCAGAUUAGCUACACAGGGCAAUGUCCAGCUCAAAUAAAACACUACCUACGUUCCACUUUCGAUUCCCUACACAAGCCACAGCAACUUACCCAACAUCUCAUCUGCUUCCUGCUCCCCGUUGAGCACUUCUGGAGUGGAGAAAAGUUCCUGGCUGCCUGCCCCACCGAGCGACCCCACUGGGAGCUCCACAUCCUCUUCUACCUCCACUUCUUCAUCCAGAAUUUCAGCCUCUGAGUUACCCACCCUUUCUGCUGCCUCCAAAGUAUCCACGGGGCUAUCGGCGAUGGAGGUGGGGUCACCACCGAGGAUAGCAUUCAGCUCCUUAUAGAAGUAGCAGGUCUUAGGUGCACCACCGGAGUGAUGGUUUGCCUCCUUUGCCUUAUGGUACGCCUGCCUCAGCUCCUUUAUCUUCGCUGUGCACUGCUGCGUGUCCUGAUCAUAGCCCUUUUCGCACAAGCCUCGAGAAAUUUGCCCAUAUGUGUCCCGAUUCCUGUGGUUCAAUCGCAGCUGUGACUGAACAGACUCCUAUCCCCAUAUACUGAUCAGAUCCAACAGCUGAGCGGUGGUCCAAGCGGGAGCCCAUUUGGUGUGAUAGCCAGCCAUGCUCACCUGGGAAGCCAGCAAGCGGGAAACGAGAUUUAAAAUUCCCGGGGCUUGCAAAGGGGAGGGGUGGGUUGGCUGCAGGGCAGCGGAGUUCAAACCACUGACCAGAGCGGCAGCAUGGGAAUUGUGGGACACUUUCUGGAGGCCAAUAAAA
Long non-coding RNA from Chelonia mydas (Green sea turtle), 2198 nucleotides. RefSeq lists it as uncharacterized. Lineage: Eukaryota; Metazoa; Chordata; Testudines; Cheloniidae. The record is from RefSeq and is a predicted model, not a curated record. The transcript is spliced from 2 exons.